GAUACAUUAACUUUUGGUUGGGGUAACCACGAAGAAAAGAAAACCUUCGACAAACAAAGAGUAAACAAACUCCAAACUAAAAAAAAUGAUCCGGAACCGAACAAGGAAAAAAGUUACCGCAGGGAUAACAGCGUUAUUCUCUUUAAGAGCCCAUAUUGACAAGAGAGUUUGCGACCUCGAUGUUGGACCGGGGCACCCCAGAGGUGCAGAAGCCUCUAAUGGUGGGUCUGUUCGACCCAUAAAGCCCUACGUGAUCUGAGUUCAGACCGACGCAAGUCAGGUCAGUUUCUAUCUA
Molecule: ribosomal RNA, 295 nt
Filed under: Caledonicrinus vaubani
Lineage: Eukaryota; Metazoa; Echinodermata; Crinoidea; Isocrinida
Description: partial 16S ribosomal RNA
Rfam family: Bacterial large subunit ribosomal RNA
Source: RNAcentral